RNAcentral lists this ribosomal RNA (253 nucleotides) under uncultured bacterium. RNAcentral describes it as "partial 16S ribosomal RNA". It matches the Rfam family "Bacterial small subunit ribosomal RNA", at positions 524 to 776 of the family's 1533-position model. The record is from RNAcentral.
UACGUAGGCAGCGAGCGUUGUUCGGAGUUACUGGGCGUAAAGAGUGCGUAGGCGGUUUUCUAAGUUUGGUGUGAAAUCUCCCGGCUCAACUGGGAGGGUGCGCCGAAGACUGGAAGGCUUGAGUAUGGGAGAGGUAAGCGGAAUUCCUGGUGUAGCGGUGAAAUGCGUAGAUAUCAGGAGGAACACCAAUUGCGAAGGCAGCUCGCUGGGACGUAACUGACGCUGAGACGCGAAAGCGUGGGGAGCAAACAGG